RNAcentral lists this non-coding RNA (30 nucleotides) under Mus musculus (house mouse). Lineage: Eukaryota; Metazoa; Chordata; Mammalia; Rodentia; Muridae. The record is from RNAcentral.
UUUCCAAGGGAAUGCCACCUUCUAGAAAGC